UUAAUUUCCAGUUACGUCCAGUUCAGAGUAAAACUUCACUUUGCUCCAAUCAUCCAUCGGUUAAUCUUUACAGUACUGUUUUUUAAUUUCCAGUUACGUCCGUGGCAGCCCGUAAGCUCGUAGUUCGUCUCACCCCCACCCCGAGCGAUCUCCCGAUCUGUCUCUCCGAGCGGACGCGCGCCGGGCGAUGAGAAAAUCAGGCAACAAAAACAGAACCGAUUUUUCCGUCCAGUGAGAUCCUGAUGCCUGAAAGAUUCACCCGCCUCCUCCGCCACCCUUUCCCUGUCUCCGCCGCCGCCCUUCCUCGCCUCCGCCGCUGCCGUUGUCGUUUCCCAUCUCAGCAGCCGCCUCCCUCUAUCCUCGCGUGCUCCGGGGACCCAACCAUCCACCAGGUUCCGCUUAAGGCGCUCCAAUCUCGUUGCGAGGGCCAUGGCCUGACCGAGCAUUUGCCCUAGGGACCGGGACUGAUGGCGGCGGCGGCGGCGCGCGGUCAUGUGGCUCCCUCUUCCUCAGAUACGCGGCAGGCAACAAUGGCGGGAUAGGGAUCGGGGGCUGCUCGCACUCACAGGCGACGGGCGGUGUGAACGCGAUGGCGCAGCACCGGAGGCUGAGCUCGAAGUGGAGAAGAUGUUCUCCAGGCAGCAGGACAUGAUCUGGAGGGGGCGCCCGUGUGAGGGACGCCGAUGAAGGCCAGCAGCCCAGUGGCGCCCCUGCCGAGCGCGUCCUCGACGGUGACGAGAGGCGGCGGCGGCAACCUAUGUCGUUGUCAUCUGCUACUGUUUUGUGUGAGAUGAGGGACGCUGCCCUCCCAUGGCGUCCCCUCCAUAUCCCCUUCCCAUGGAGGCCCCUCCGUAUCCCUCCCCAUGGUCUGCAUACCAGCUCCCAUGCUUUCGAAUAAAAUCCAAGUGUUGAUUGUUUUUGUCCGCUAUUUGCAGCUAUCCGUCAUAUGCUGCUUUACUUUUUUUUUUAUUAAGAUUCAGUAUUUGCUAAAAAUAAGCUUCAGUUGUUCUGAUUGAAAACUGAGAGGUUGCUUUCGUGUUGUAGUCUCAGUUAUAGGUACAGAUUCAGUAUUUUCUAAAAAUAAGCUUCUGUUUUUCUAAUUGAAAAAUUGCACGUAUGGCCGAUUGAAAUAUGGACGGUUGAAAUAUGGGUAUGGGCCAGUGAGUGAUAAUGUGGCAUCUAGGGAAACAAAUUUAAUUUACUUGAACUGAGGUAAUACAUACUCUAAACCUUUUUAACAUUUGGUGUUGUAGACACUAUUACAGUUGUUACUUCUGUACCAGUUAAGGUCUCUGAAGUAUGUUUUUCUACAUGCUUGUAGGUAUCUUGCAGUUUGCACAAGCGAGCUGCUAAAGAGUGCCACUCAAUGUCUAUAUUGAUACACGUUCUUGAGGAUGGUCGUAUCACCCAAGCUGGAAAAUUUGAUGAUCUUCUCCAAGCUGGGAGUUCAUUGUUUGUAUUUGUGGGAAGCCUUCUUGUGGCUACAAAUUAAAUUGUUAAUGGUAAUUCUGAAGCUCUGCAAGCAGCAAACAGAUUCAUGUCAGUGAGACAGUGACAGUUUGCAACAAGGAGUCAUAAACGAUGAUGCAAAAGAUGGAGGCAAUCGAGUGUUGGGAUGGCCGCCGCAACUAUGAUCGGGCCAAGGACCGUGGCUUCACGGAGGUCGAUGCAGCGGCAGGAGCACCGCCAACGGCCGCAGCUCGGAACGACGAUGCAUCUCCUCGCCGGCGUCGUCGUUGGCGCCAUCAGCAGGACCUCUACCGCGCCCCUCACCUGCCUCACCAUCCUAUUCUAGGCACGUCUUAAAUCGAAAGCGGGCUUGCUUCCUCUCCCUUUCAAUGCUGCGCAGAAAGCUUUCUGAUUUUGUUUUUACUUCUCCAUAUUGUCCUAUUGUCUAAUGCUAACUGUGGGAUUUUAGUAGUAAGCAGCGAGUGUAUCUUACUUCAUUGGUUGGGAUGGUUGGGAUGAUCCUGCUUCCCAAUAGUGGAUACAUGAUAAUUUUGAUUCAUUUUUUAGGAGUAAAACAAGUCUUGGCUUGGCGUUAUGGGUAAAACAGGGACAUAUUAGCAUGCCUAUGUUAGUCAAUAAUUCAUGAA
Molecule: long non-coding RNA, 2096 nt
Organism: Brachypodium distachyon (stiff brome)
Lineage: Eukaryota; Viridiplantae; Streptophyta; Magnoliopsida; Poales; Poaceae
Exons: 4
Source: RefSeq, a predicted model, not a curated record